This 256-nucleotide ribosomal RNA is filed under the name uncultured prokaryote. RNAcentral's name for it is "partial 16S ribosomal RNA". It matches the Rfam family "Bacterial small subunit ribosomal RNA", at positions 524 to 776 of the family's 1533-position model. The record is from RNAcentral.
UACGGAGGAGGCAAGCGUUAUCCGGAAUUAUUGGGCGUAAAGCGUCCGCAGGUGGCUAAAGAGCAAGUCUGUCGUCAAAGACCGGGGCUUAACCCUGGGAAGGCGGUGGAAACUGCACAGCUAGAGAGAGGUAGGGGUAGAGGGAAUUCCCGGUGUAGCGGUGAAAUGCGUAGAGAUCGGGAAGAACAUCGGUGGCGAAAGCGCUCUACUGGACCUAAUCUGACACUCAGGGACGAAAGCUAGGGGAGCGAAUGGG